This 497-nucleotide ribosomal RNA is filed under the name uncultured bacterium. RNAcentral describes it as "partial 16S ribosomal RNA". It matches the Rfam family "Bacterial small subunit ribosomal RNA", at positions 28 to 507 of the family's 1533-position model. The record is from RNAcentral.
GAUGAACGCUGGCGGCGUGCCUAAUACAUGCAAGUCGAGCGAACAGACGAGGAGCUUGCUUCUCUGAUGUUAGCGGCGGACGGGUGAGUAACACGUGGAUAACCUACCUAUAAGACUGGGAUAACUUCGGGAAACCGGAGCUAAUACCGGAUAAUAUAUUGAACCGCAUGGUUCAAUAGUGAAAGACGGUCUUGCUGUCACUUAUAGAUGGAUCCGCGCUGCAUUAGCUAGUUGGUAAGGUAACGGCUUACCAAGGCAACGAUGCGUAGCCGACCUGAGAGGGUGAUCGGCCACACUGGAACUGAGACACGGUCCAGACUCCUACGGGAGGCAGCAGUAGGGAAUCUUCCGCAAUGGGCGAAAGCCUGACGGAGCAACGCCGCGUGAGUGAUGAAGGUCUUCGGAUCGUAAAACUCUGUUAUUAGGGAAGAACAAAUGUGUAAGUAACUAUGCACAUCUUGACGGUACCUAAUCAGAAAGCCACGGCUAACUACGUG